GGAAGGGCCUCACACCUGUGGGGCCUAAAUGGCUCUAGCUGCUCAGGUGAGGCCCAAAAGAGACUAGUAGGAGAAGCCUGCCCUUCUAGGAAAGUGCCUUCACCUCUCGCAGAGCGCGCGGGCACAGGAGCUGCGCUGCCCACCUGUAGCCACAGCAAACAAACUUUCCGCCCCUUUUGGGUGGGAAGCAUCGGAUCCCCUACGCCACCCUCUGGCUCGAGCCGGCAGCGCCCAAAGCAAGGCGGGCUCCUCACCUGAUACCCCUAAACCACAACCUGAUCUGCACCAGAGCUGCUGAGGCUUGCGAGGUGGAGGGACUUAGCUGGAAGCUGCAAUUAGGAAUUUGGAAGAAAGGGGCUUGGAAAUCCGCGCCCUGCUCCUUUGCAAUUCCAAUUCUCAACUUUGCCAGCCGCGCCCUCCGCAGCGCGCCCUCAAGCCCCUCGGCCUCCCCAACGCCGUCCCAGGGAGAGGGGCGCCCCGAGAUCAGCGGGAGCCCGAACACUCACAGCCGUAGCGGGGCCGUUGCAACGACGGCAGCUCUUCGUGCGGCAUCCUGCGCUGCUCCGGGGGCCCUCCCGGGGCGCGCCCCCCGUGGUUUCCCUCGCUGGCCAGGCUCGCGGGCUCCGCGCCCCGCGGGCGCGCUCCGAUCCCACCUCUGGGCUGCCCUCGCCCGGCUUCUCGGAGCUGGCCGCUCCGCUCCCUCGGUGCUCCUUCGCUCGCGCCUGCGGCGGCCGCGUCUCGCUGACACCGGGGCAAAAGUGAACUCUCUCCUCCCUCGCUCGCUCGCCCGCCCGCCCGCGGGCCGCACCGCCUCCCCCAGCAGGUUUCCUUUCUCCUCCCGCCCGGCUCCGUUAUUCACCGCGGUGGGAGCGCGCCGCCGUGCAGCGACCCCUACUGGCCGCACAGCGCAGCGCCCGGUUGCGAGGACCCGCCUCCCGCGAGAGGAAGGGGCAGAGAGGCACCCUGAACCCCUGCAGCUGGAGCCCAGCGCACAGAUGGAGGGCGACUUGGAGCAUCCGGAGGGUGGAAGUGAACCAGCGCAGGGAAGAGCAAGAAAAACCACAGCAGACCACAGGCACCCAGUUCGCCUGAGUGUUGCUCAGUGACUGAGAGACAAACAUUGCAGUUCC
RNAcentral lists this long non-coding RNA (1130 nucleotides) under Mus spicilegus (steppe mouse). RNAcentral's name for it is "lncRNA (ENSMSIG00000030152.1)". Lineage: Eukaryota; Metazoa; Chordata; Mammalia; Rodentia; Muridae. The record is from RNAcentral.